ACUCAAAGGAAUAGACGGGGACCCGCACAAGCGGUGGAUGAUGUGGAUUAAUUCGAUGCAACGCGAAAAACCUUACCUACCCUUGACAUGGCUGGAAUCCUUGAGAGAUCAGGGAGUGCCCGAAAGGGAACCAGUACACAGGUGCUGCAUGGCUGUCGUCAGCUCGUGUCGUGAGAUGUUGGGUUAAGUCCCGCAACGAGCGCAACCCUUGUCAUUAGUUGCUACGAAAGGGCACUCUAAUGAGACUGCCGGUGACAAACCGGAGGAAGGUGGGGAUGACGUCAAGUCCUCAUGGCCCUUAUGGGUAGGGCUUCACACGUCAUACAAUGGUACAUACAGAGCGCCGCCAACCCGCGAGGGGGAGCUAAUCGCAGAAAGUGUAUCGUAGUCCGGAUUGUAGUCUGCAACUCGACUGCAUGAAGUUGGAAUCGCUAGUAAUCGCGGAUCAGCAUGUCGCGGUGAAUACGUUCCCGGGUCUUGCACACACCGCCCGU
RNAcentral lists this ribosomal RNA (494 nucleotides) under uncultured bacterium. Its description in RNAcentral is "partial 16S ribosomal RNA". It matches the Rfam family "Bacterial small subunit ribosomal RNA", at positions 899 to 1397 of the family's 1533-position model. The record is from RNAcentral.